CUACGGGUGGCUGCAGUGAGGAAUAUUGCACAAUGGGGGGAACCCUGAUGCAGCAACGCCGCGUGGAGGAUGACGCAUUUCGGUGUGUAAACUCCUUUUAUAUGUCAAGAAAAUGACGGUAGCAUAUGAAUAAGCACCGGCUAACUCCGUGCCAGCAGCCGCGGUAAUACGGAGGGUGCAAGCGUUACUCGGAAUCACUGGGCGUAAAGGACGCGUAGGCGGGUUGGAAAGUCAGGUGUGAAAUCCUACAGCUUAACUGUAGAACUGCACUUGAAACUUCUAAUCUAGAGUAUGGGAGGGGGAGGUGGAAUUAGUGGUGUAGGGGUAAAAGCCGUAGAUAUCACUAGGAAUACCUAAAGCGAAGGCGAUCUCCUGGAACAUUACUGACGCUAAGGCGUGAAAGCGUGGGGAGCAAACAGGAUUAGAUACCCUCGUAGUC
RNAcentral lists this ribosomal RNA (439 nucleotides) under uncultured bacterium. RNAcentral describes it as "partial 16S ribosomal RNA". It matches the Rfam family "Bacterial small subunit ribosomal RNA", at positions 339 to 795 of the family's 1533-position model. The record is from RNAcentral.